RNAcentral lists this small RNA (1268 nucleotides) under Vigna angularis var. angularis. RNAcentral's name for it is "Non-protein coding transcript". Lineage: Eukaryota; Viridiplantae; Streptophyta; Magnoliopsida; Fabales; Fabaceae. The record is from RNAcentral.
UGAUCAUACAUGGGGCAACAAUGAAGAGUUUUCAAAGUGACAGCAAGCAUAAAAAAGAGUAGAAUAGGUUUCCUUUGGGCGUGUAUUUGCCUUUUGAUUUCUUUCUCUUAGUUCUUGUGAAUAAUUGCUUAUAAACUCUUCUUUCUCUUUAAGAGAAAGCAAUGUGGGACUAUCCAUGGCUUGAUCUUAAAAAGAAGAGAAGAGAAAGUGAGCAUACUAGGCGUGUAGGAGUUAGUAGCAUAGCUAGUUUUCAUAUUUUGAACUAUAGGAGAACUAGUUGCCUUAUAAACCCUUUGGAGUGGAGAGAAUUGAGCAAUGUGGGACUCAAAAGUCCCUAGAAGACCUGCAGCAGCUGCUGGACGGACUACACCCUCAAAAGUCCCACAUCUCCUAGAUCUUGCAUCUUAGCUCACUCCAAAGGUUAUAUAAGAAGGCUUAGGGGUCUCCUUUUUGGUACACCUUACCUUGAUUCAAUGAAUUUGAGUUGAUUUGCACUUUUGCAAUCUUCUUUGAGAUAGAAUUCUGUCUCUAAAGUCCCAAAUUUGGGCAGACCUUAUCUUGUUCAAGCAAGUGGCGGUCCUCUUCUUGAUGCUUAUCUUGGAAGCUUGUUCAAGUGGCGCAUCUUCAAUUCCUAAGUUUCCUUUUCUUUAAUCUCUUCCAUUUUUAAUUUCUUUCCCAUUCUCUUAAAUGUCAUUUAGUAUAUUCUCUCUAGGUAUGCACUUCCCCAUCAUGUGGUAUCAUGAGCCUUAGGUUUUUGAUCUCUUAGGAAUUGCAUGCUAGAGUAGAAUAGCUUAGAUAUGUUCAUUUUCGCUGAGCCAUUUUCUGUCUCGCCCAGCCUCUGCGUGAAAAUACAGUGAACUUGUAUGAUUUAGUUUAGCUUCAUUUCUUGUCCGUUUUCCAUGAAAUUUUUUUUCCUAGUUUCGUCUGGAUGUCUAGUUUCCUGAACAUAUUUUACUUUUCUCAAAUUCGUUCUGUACUGUUCCCAGUAAAUUGUUUUCUCCACUGUGUUCAUCCAGUUUUCUGCUGUUGAAUUAAUACUCCACUGUUUUGCUUUGUUGUUGGCUGUUUGGACAUUUUGGUGGCUGGAAUUGCUCCCUGGACGUUGCUACACCCUCUCAAUACUCUUAAGCAAGGAAUCAACACUUCAAAUCAAUGCUUUGAGGGACUAAACCGUGGCUGUCCAGAGCCUUGUGCAAGUAGACUUUUCAUCAAACAGCAACAAUGCUAUUGGAGGUCUUCAACAAGUUCCAGCCAUGCUUCAUCUCAUG